GACGAACGCUGGCGGCGUGCCUAAUACAUGCGAGUUGAGCGCUGAAGGUUGGUACUUGUACCAACUGGAUGAGCAGCGAACGGGUGAGUAACGCGUGGGGAAUCUGCCUUUGAGCGGGGGACAACAUUUGGAAACGAAUGCUAAUACCGCAUAAAAACUUUAAACACAAGUUUUAAGUUUGAAAGAUGCAAUUGCAUCACUCAAAGAUGAUCCCGCGUUGUAUUAGCUAGUUGGUGAGGUAAAGGCUCACCAAGGCGAUGAUACAUAGCCGACCUGGAAGGGUGAUCGGCCACAUUGGGACUGAAACACGGCCCAAACUCCGACGGGAGGCAGCAGUAGGGAAUCUUCGGCAAUGGACGAAAGUCUGGCCGAGCAACGCCGCGUGAGUGAAGAAGGUUUUCGGAUCGUAAAACUCUGUUGGUAGAGAAGAACGUUGGUGAGAGUGGAAAGCUCAUCAAGUGACGGUAACUACCCAGAAAGGGACGGCUAACUACGUGCCAGCAGCCGCGGUAA
RNAcentral lists this ribosomal RNA (513 nucleotides) under uncultured bacterium. RNAcentral's name for it is "partial 16S ribosomal RNA". It matches the Rfam family "Bacterial small subunit ribosomal RNA", at positions 28 to 523 of the family's 1533-position model. The record is from RNAcentral.